Long non-coding RNA from Hemibagrus wyckioides, 1820 nucleotides. RefSeq lists it as uncharacterized. The transcript has 3 exons. The record is from RefSeq and is a predicted model, not a curated record. NCBI's taxonomy places the organism in Eukaryota, Metazoa, Chordata, Actinopteri, Siluriformes, Bagridae.
UUUCAUUAAAUCCCAAUUGUCACUUUUGUCCUUUUGGUAUUUCCCCUUCAAAUGCAUGUACCCACUGUACUGUAGUUUUAUAUAAAAAUAAUAUUAAUUGUGUGUGUGUGUGUGUGUGUGCGCAGGUGGAUUCCAUUCUGUUCAGUGAGUUUAAGGUGGGGAAGGAGGAACCCACACUGGAGAGGAGUUGCUGUUUCUUGGAAUGAAUCUACAGAGAGGACAUUUACCCGUGUCUCACAUUCUGCAAGAGUGAGAUCACCUCCGUCUGCAACUUCUUCACCUACAUUCACUACAUCCACCAAGGACUGGUCAAGCAGCAGGAUGCUGUACAGAUGUUCUGGGAGGUCAUGCAGCUGUGUAAGGAGAUGUCCUGUGCUAAACUGGACUACUACAGAGAUGAACUGUGAACACUGAGCAAGGAGACCGUGUGUGAAAGAAACAUGCUCAGUGCAGGAGAGGGGGGUUCUGCAGUUCACCAAGACACAUCACAGGGACCAGGUCUUUCCUCACACCUCAACACUCCAGCACUGUGUGUGUGUGUGUGUGUGUGUGUGUGUGUGUGUGUGUGUGUGUGUGUGUGUGUGUGUGUGUGUGUGUGUGUGUGUGUGUGUGUGUGUGUGUGUGUGUGUGUGUGUGUGUGUGUGUGUGUGUAUGAGAUGAAAUCACUGAAAAGGGAAGAAAAAGGUGUUGGUCUACUGAUCAGAAGGUUGUGAGUUUGAAUCCCAGCUCCACCAAGCUGCCACUGCUGGGCCCCUGAGCAAGGCCCUCAAUCCUCAAUUACUCAGCUGUAUAAAAUGAGAUAAAAUGUCCAACUUACAAAUCGACUUAAAACAGCUUUUACUUCUGCUAAAGACAUUAGGAGUACUUCAAAUUUUACCCUGCUCAGAGAAUUAUUGGAAAGUAACAGUACUUUCACAACCCUUUUUGUAUUUUUUAAGGAAAAAAAGAUUCAAGAUUCAAGAUUCAAAGAACUUUAUCAGGUUCAUCGUGAGAGAAGUUCACACUCUGUAGCCACUGCUGAAUAUGGUUCCUGUAUUUAUGUCUGGUGUAAAUGGAGUACACAGAUAUAUAUUUUUCACAGACCAGUAGUGUCUCAGGUGCCUGAUGCCACUGAUUUAUAAUUCAGUAAUUCAGCAGAAAUUUGUUGCCAAAUCAGUUCACCGUCAGUCCACUUUGUGUUCGGAAGUCAGGGAAUUCAAGUGAAGUUUCCUUUCCCUUUGGGCUCAAGACACUUCAGUUCAUUUUUUAAGAAACUCUGAGUUUUAGCUGUGCUCCAGUGUGUCCAAGAACAUUUGAUAAAAAUGUCAAUAAACUAUCACAGCUUCACACUCCUCUCCAGAUGUGUAUGAAUCCACCUGGAGGAAGACACACACACACACUUUACUAUCCUUGUGAGGACCUUCCAUAGGACUAACCCUGAGUUCAUAUGUUUUUUGGUUAGUUUUAAAUAAAAUCUGUGUAAGAGGCAGAUCAAAAGUCCAUACAAGGUCAAAACUGUCCGAUUAACCAGUCUGGUCCCAUUCGGUUCUUCAACACCUCUCUACAGGGACAUGGUAAUGUGGACUGGGAGAUCUAGGCUAAGGCUUGUCUGCUAUAUGCAUCACGGUGUUACAUGUAUAACUCUCUCAUCCGUUAGAUUCAGGGUCUGCUCAGUUACUCUCACUAUUGCAUAUCUUACCAUUACAAACAGACUCAGUUUCAUUGUCACUUUCAUGCUGCUCUUUGCACAAUUACCCCCCCCUCCCCUUUUAAACUGUGAUUUAUAUGCUUUAUUUAUUUGCUUCUUAUAUAUCUGUAGUUUUUGUUCUUAGCAUUGCACU